GCUUACGGCCACACCGCCUGAUUCCACUCCCCGAUCUCGUUUGAUCUCGGAAGCUAUAGGUUGGGCCUGGUUAGUACUUGGAUGGGAGACCGCCUGGGAAUACCAGGUGCUGUAAAGC
Molecule: ribosomal RNA, 118 nt
Filed under: Scophthalmus maximus (turbot)
Lineage: Eukaryota; Metazoa; Chordata; Actinopteri; Pleuronectiformes; Scophthalmidae
Source: RNAcentral